RNAcentral lists this long non-coding RNA (1236 nucleotides) under Eutrema salsugineum. RNAcentral's name for it is "long non-coding RNA (ESAL_LNC001762)". Lineage: Eukaryota; Viridiplantae; Streptophyta; Magnoliopsida; Brassicales; Brassicaceae. The record is from RNAcentral.
UUAAACCUAAGAAGAGCUCCGGAGGUUUCUAGGAGGGGAACCUAAGAUUUUCAUCGCAUCAAAAUUGACGGGAUUUGGAAUUUCAUCACUCUCACCACCCUCCUGAUCAGCUUCUUCCCCGGCUGCUUCAUCUUCUUCCAUGGAGAUGCAGCCUUUUUUUCCAAAUUUUCAUCAUCUGCGAGCAUUAGAUCCUCUCCUAGGAACUCAUCGUUAAACAGCUCUUCUUCCAUAAGGUCGUCGUUUUCCACCCAGUCACCGAGCCCUUCAUCUUCGUUCGCUAGCAUCUCAUCCUCUGUCUCUUCCUUCUCAUCCUCCAUUUCGUCCUCCACGAUUGUAUCCUCACCAAGUUCGGCAAUCAUUUCGGAUCGAAAAUCGAAAUCCAGUUGCUUUAUCUUUUUUUCCUCUCCAAUAGUCUCGAGUUCAUCAUCCUCAUACUUAUCUUCCAGCGUCAUAUCAUACCAGCUCCUUCUGGGUUCAGAAACUUGCUUUCUUCUCAAAAAAGGGAUCAGAGAUUUGGUUGGGAUCACUGUCGGCUCAGGUACUUGCAUAGAUGCUUCCAUGGAUACUUCCAUCGCAAAGUUCAGGCUUUUCUUUGCUGAGCUUCCUGAUUCCGAGCUGUUUCCCAGAUCAAUUCAUUUUUCCUUGUCUUUUGACAUAACAUCAGAUCUCUUCUGGAGAUUUAGGCGGAAUGGUCUCUCUCUUAGGUGUUAUGUUGACUUGAAAGGUUGUUUUGCCGAUUAACGGUUGAUAGGAUCUCCGAUAUUUUCUUUUGGGAGUCCGACACCUGAGAGUGGUGAGAAGCAGCAGUAGCACGUUCAUUAAUCUGAAGUUUUUGGUAGUCUCUUGAAGGUGUUGUUUCUCUAAUUUUGUUUGACUCUUCCCUCUUUCUAUUUGGUGCAAACGAAUCCUCAUAGCGUCUCUUUCGAUCAACUGCAUCCAGGUGGUGUGAGGUCUCCCGAAAGCGGGGAGUUGUUAUGGCACGUGAGUCUUUUUGUCUUCCAUUUCUGGGCUCAUAUGGGAUCUCCAUUCUUUUCCAGACACUAUCUAUUUCUUGGUGUGAAGUCUCUCUUCCACUACGGUGAGGAGAUUCCUUUACUGCAGAAGAGGUGUAAGGAAUGGUUUUGUUUUCACGGCUGUAUUCUCAGUCAGGUGCCUCAUACGAGAGGGAUUGAUGCUACUUCCUGCUUGUUCGUAUGCCAAAGGAAUGACCUUUCUUCUUGGGUAUUCCUCUCUUAU